CAGUAUUCGCCCAUUUCAUUCUAAUAUCAGUUCGGAUUCGAUCUUACCUCAUCAUAAGUUUUUAAUUUGUGCAAUAAGUACCUACAUACCUUACACAUAGUAACUGUGAUUGACAAUUUUUACAUCAUGGAAGUGAUAAGAGAUUUGAAAAAAAUGGUGCUCCAAAUAUUCGGAAUUGAGAAUAUGUUCGGGUUCGAAACAAUUUUAGCUAAUCAGCUUUACUUAUUCUAUUGCAUGUCGGGUAAUAUGUAUUACACGGAUAAAAUACACCGGAAAACAAAAAUCGUGUGGUUCUGCAGCAUUUACACGGUAUUUAUACAGAUCACAUUUUCUGUAAUAUCAUAUCUAAUCUAUGGUAGGAAGACUGGGGAUAUUCUGCUACUUAUUUACACUGGGUUUAUGAGCAUUCUGGGAGUAACCGAAUUAUUUGUGAAACAAGCAAUCCUAUUUUCAUACAGAAAUGAAAUCGAACGAAUGAUUUUGAUGGUUGAUCGAAUACUGAUGAAGAAAACAAGAAAAUAUAAAAACGAGCUCGAUAUAAAUCAAAUACUGGUGAAUUUUGUGAUAGUAUAUUGGAUAGCACUUAUACCAUACGUAUCAAUUACUGCCCUGGACAUGCUAUUAUUUUAUGAGGAAGAAAAUGUACAGAAUUACAUAUAUUAUUUGGUACCACUUUCCGGACUCGAACACUACGGAUCAUUGAAGCUGUACUCAUUUCUUAUGUUUGCGUCCAUUUGGCAAGGAACCAGUUGUUUUGUGGUAUUCACAGGUACUCGAAUUUUACUAUUACCUUGGGUCGUUGUUUGUCAUAAUGAGGCUCAACGCAUCAUCGGCGAAUUGAAUUCAUUAAGCACAGAUGUUGAUAUAAAUAUUGAUAACUACAAAAGUAUGGAACCGAAGUUCAAAAAUGUCUUGAAAAAAUGCAUACAAGAUAUAAAUAAUCUCAGAAGACUGAUUUCAACUUUUCGAGGCUAUUUAGAAUCCACAGCUGGUAUCAUACUGCCUGUUAUACUGUAUGUUGAAGUUGCCCACGCUUUGGUUUUUGUGUCCCCGGAUACUCCAUUCAUGGUGAGAGUGAGAGAACUCUCUGUCUUUAUAUCAUCAAUUCAAGAAAUUUACCUCAUCUGUUGGGUGGGAGCCACACUUGAAGAAAUGACAUCAGAUUUAUCCUUUGCUGUGUAUUCUACACCUUGGUAUUGGUUCAAAAACAUUCGGAAGGAUGUUUACAUACUUCUAUGUGAGACGCAAGCACCAAUGAGUCCAGUUGCCCUCAGUGUUUAUCCGUUGACACUGGCAACAUUUCUUCGAUUUUGCAACGUUAUUAAUUCAUCAGUGAAUCUUUUUCGAUCGUAUGCGCAUUAAGCUAAGACCCUGUAUACUAAUCUGGUUCAAUCACAUAUGAAAUCAAAAGUUUGUUAUGUAAUAUUUCAUCACUAAAUUCACCUUUGCAUAGAUAGGUAUUUAUUAAAGGUAGGUACUUAUUUGUAAUUUAAUCAAAUUCAAUCACAUGAUUAUAUGUACACAGGUAAUUUUUCAUAAAUUUAUAAAUAAUAUGAAUAUUGAAUCAUUUCAUUUCAACACUAACCAUUAAACAGUUGCCAUUUCGAAUUCGAAGCGUAUAAAUUGUUGAAU
Molecule: long non-coding RNA, 1632 nt
Organism: Planococcus citri (citrus mealybug)
Lineage: Eukaryota; Metazoa; Arthropoda; Insecta; Hemiptera; Pseudococcidae
Exons: 4
Source: RefSeq, a predicted model, not a curated record